This 262-nucleotide unclassified non-coding RNA is filed under the name root metagenome. RNAcentral's name for it is "partial contains small subunit ribosomal RNA, internal transcribed spacer 1, and 5.8S ribosomal RNA". The record is from RNAcentral.
UUUCCGUAGGUGAACCUGCGGAAGGAUCAUUACUGAAUUGUCGACACGAGUUGUUGCUGGCCCCUCAAACGGGGGCAUGUGCACGCUCUGUUUGCAUCCACUCACACCUGUGCACCUUCUGUAGUUCUAUGGUUGGGGAGGCAAAUGCCUCCCCUCCUGUGGUUCUACGUCUUUACACACACACUGUAACGUAGUCUUAUGGAAUGCAUGCGGCGUUUAACGCAAUACAAUACAACUUUCAGCAACGGAUCUCUUGGCUCUC